UAACAUCCGGAAACGGGUGCUAAUACCGCAUAGUUUUCUUGAUCGCAUGAGUCGGGAAAGGAAAGACGGCCUUUGUGCUGUCGCUUAUGGAUGGACCCGCGGCGUAUUAGUUAGUUGGUGAGGGUAACGGCUCACCAAGACGAUGAUACGUAGCCGACCUGAGAGGGUGAUCGGCCACAUUGGGACUGAGACACGGCCCAAACUCCUACGGGAGGCAGCAGUAGGGAAUCGUUCCGCAAUGGACGAAAGUCUGACGGAGCAACGCCGCGUGAGUGAAGAAGGUUUUUCCGGAUCGUAAAACUCUGUUGUCAGUAGAAGAACAAGUUGGAGAGUAACUGCUCCAGCCUUGACGGUAUCUGACCAGAAAGCCACGGCUAACUACGUGCCAGCAGCCGC
This 396-nucleotide ribosomal RNA is filed under the name uncultured bacterium. RNAcentral describes it as "bacterial SSU rRNA". It matches the Rfam family "Bacterial small subunit ribosomal RNA", at positions 144 to 518 of the family's 1533-position model. The record is from RNAcentral.